GGGUUUGCAGUGAUUAUAAAGUAAAUUCCUCGUUCUGAAUGCUAAAUAAAAAAGCAUGAGAGACUUUUAUUUACACCCAUAGAAUCUGAGCAGC
Cornus florida is the source of this 94-nucleotide small nucleolar RNA. RefSeq annotates it as small nucleolar RNA snoR8a. The record is from RefSeq and is a predicted model, not a curated record. The transcript has a single exon. Lineage: Eukaryota; Viridiplantae; Streptophyta; Magnoliopsida; Cornales; Cornaceae.